CCCUUAGAUGCUCUGGGCCGCACGCGCGCUACACUGGUCGAUGCAACGAGUUUCUUUCCUUGGCCGACAGGCCUGGGCAAUCUUUGAACAUCGAUCGUGAUCGGGAUAGAUUCUUGUAAUUUUUGAUCUUAAACGAGGAAUUCCUAGUAAACGCAAGUCAUCAGCUUGCAUUGAUUACGUCCCUGCCCUUUGUACACACCGCCCGUCGCACCUACCGAUUGAAUGGUCCGGUGAAAUCUCCGGACUGGCGUGAGUCGGAGCAAUCUGACAAACGCCGGAAAGUUGAUUAAACCUUAUCAUUUAGAGGAAGGAGAAGUCGUAACA
RNAcentral lists this ribosomal RNA (324 nucleotides) under uncultured eukaryote. Its description in RNAcentral is "partial 18S ribosomal RNA". It matches the Rfam family "Eukaryotic small subunit ribosomal RNA", at positions 1470 to 1796 of the family's 1831-position model. The record is from RNAcentral.